GUACGCAAGUACGGGCUUUUUUUUCGCAUGUGGCACCCACCGGGGGGGAUGAGAACCCCCGACCGGGGUUCGAAUCCCCCCCUCACCGCCA
RNAcentral lists this transfer RNA (91 nucleotides) under Klebsiella pneumoniae. RNAcentral's name for it is "tRNA-Leu". Lineage: Bacteria; Pseudomonadati; Pseudomonadota; Gammaproteobacteria; Enterobacterales; Enterobacteriaceae. The record is from RNAcentral.